GGUGAAAAGCACCCCGGAAGGGGAGUGAAAUAGAACCUGAAACCGUGUGCUUACAAGUAGUCAGAGCCCGUUAAUGGGUGAUGGCGUGCCUUUUGUAGAAUGAACCGGCGAGUUACGAUUUGAUGCAAGGUUAAGCAGUAAAUGUGGAGCCGUAGCGAAAGCGAGUCUGAAUAGGGCGUUUAGUAUUUGGUCGUAGACCCGAAACCAGGUGAUCUACCCUUGGUCAGGUUGAAGUUCAGGUAACACUGAAUGGAGGACCGAAC
RNAcentral lists this ribosomal RNA (263 nucleotides) under Staphylococcus aureus. Its description in RNAcentral is "partial 23S ribosomal RNA". It matches the Rfam family "Bacterial large subunit ribosomal RNA", at positions 513 to 779 of the family's 2925-position model. The record is from RNAcentral. Lineage: Bacteria; Bacillati; Bacillota; Bacilli; Caryophanales; Staphylococcaceae.